CCGAGUUGUAAUUUGUAGAGGAUGCUUCGGGUGCGGCCGCGGUCUAAGUCCCCUGGAACGGGGCGUCGUAGAGGGUGAGAAUCCCGUCUUUGACCGGCCGGUCACGCCCGUGUGAAGCUCCUUCGACGAGUCGAGUUGUUUGGGAAUGCAGCUCUAAAUGGGUGGUAAAUUUCAUCUAAAGCUAAAUACUGGUCGGAGACCGAUAGCGCACAAGUAGAGUGAUCGAAAGAUGAAAAGCACUUUGAAAAGAGAGUUAAACAGCAUGUGAAAUUGUUGAAAGGGAAGCGCUUGCGAUCAGAGUCGUCUGCGGGGGCUCAGCGGGCAUUCUUUGCCCGUGCACUCCCCCGCGGUCGGGCCAGCGUCGGUUUUGACGGCCGGUCAAAGGCCCCCGGAAUGUGUCGCCUCUCGGGGCGUCUUAUAGCCGGGGGUGCAAUGCGGCCUGUCGGGACCGAGGAACGCGCUCCGGCACGGACGCUGGCUUAAUGGUCGUAAGCGACCCGUCUUGAAACACGGACCAAGGAGUCUAACAUCCACGCGAGUGUUCGGGUGUCAAACCCGUCCGCGCAGUGAAAGCGAACGGAGGUGGGAACCCUUAAGGGUGCACCAUCGACCGAUCCUGAAGUCUUCGGAUGGAUUUGAGUAAGA
Molecule: ribosomal RNA, 645 nt
Filed under: Emmonsiellopsis terrestris
Lineage: Eukaryota; Fungi; Ascomycota; Eurotiomycetes; Onygenales; Ajellomycetaceae
Description: eukaryotic LSU rRNA
Rfam family: Eukaryotic large subunit ribosomal RNA
Source: RNAcentral